CACCUUUUUUCACGGCGCAGACAUUGCGACCAUCGCCCUUUGGAAACUCUUUCAAACAGUUCCCGCUGUACUUAGGAACGCCUUGCAACCCGGAGCAGAAAAUUGAAGGCCCAUUAUGCUUGGGAAGUGACGGCUUAAACUCGUGAGAAAACACCGAGUGUCUUGCCCACUUCAACCCGUUUGGUAUUUUUGACUUUUUUCCCAAGACCAGGCUAACAGACUAGGCAGUCAUCGCCGCGGCUCCUAUCCGGCUGAAUGGGGAGUUGACUCCCAUCGCUCCUCAUGUCCGUCUACGGUUCUUCAUAUAUAUGGCUAUACACAACAUUAUGUUGGAUCACGAGGGCUAAAAUGUAUUUUUGGGAUUUACUUUGCACCACUGUCGCCUUUAGCACCACUCAAACUCCUGACGUGGAACCGCCGGCAGCUUCCCCUGCAGAUCACUUGGGACAGGGUCCUCGGGGCACUUGAAUUGGUGGAGCUGAACAGCCAAGAACCGGGCUUCGUCGAGACCGAACUUGGCGACUGGGAAGCCGACAGUUUUGGCUUUUCCGUUUUCUUUCCAGCAUGUUCUGACGAGAUUUCGAUGCGGGUCGAACCACACGCCUCGCGCCUUCGGGUACUUGUUGAAAUGAGCAGGCGUCGGGUUGAAAAGUAGCCCUUCCUUGACUUCAGGCUCUGGAAUCAUAUGGUGAAUUCGAAAUUGGCGCCUCUGGGGGAAGGCGCCCUUUGCAGUGCCGGCUUUCGCGGUUGAGACACGCUUGCUUUCCUUCGCCGUCGUUCCUUUGUUCGAGUCAAUCGUUUCAGAAUGAGGAGUCUUCUCUUGAUGGCCUAGAGCCUUUGCGGGUGGCUGCUGCGCCAGGUCUGUUCCACUGACUCCUAAACUCGGAAUUUUUCCAUCUCGAACCGAGGAAGUGCGUGGGCGCGUGCUCUGGCCCCCAUGAUUGUGGACCUCCGAAGAACAUGAUCGCUUUCCUCGCCUCGCCGCGUUCACUUCGCAGGAAAGUUCUCCAUCGGGUUUUGCGCGUGACCUAAACAGUUCGUGGCCGGAAUGCUCCGCGCCCGAUCGGAGAUAAGGCAGUUUCGAAGACACCGAAAGACGCAGUGGUUUUUUCGCGGUCCGCGUACGCGAUGCAAUACCCUUUUCUUUGCCUGAAUCACACCCAUCUAAUUUCCCAGCGCCUUCUUCCAGGAUCUCGCCUUGAAGCUCAGCAUGUCUCAUUCGCUUGACAGAGAAACACGGGAGAGCAGCAGGUUCCAGAAACGUGUGUUUUCUUUUCGAACUUGCUGCAGAGGCGCGGCCGUCUCGUGGAGCGUUGCCAGACUCAAGAGCCGGCAGAGUGUACACGCUUGUGUCCUUUGCCGAUGGAUUUGGUUCAUCCUCGCUUUCUUCUUCAACUUGACUGAGAGCAUUCGCAAAUCGGAUUCCGGACUCAAGCGACUCUUUGACGCGUCGCUUUUUCGGGGUUUCUGGCCGCCGAGCCCAGCCAUUCCACCCUGCCCACGAUCCAGCUGUCUUACCAGUUGCACCCUCGGCAGGCGCUUCCGACAGCAUAGUGCCUUUUCCGUUCCCCGUAGCAGUUGAAGGUGUCACGUUCCCGAUGGACGCAGCUGAGGAACAGCGUGUGUUGUAGACGUGACAGGGACCUUUCUCGGCUUUCUUUGGGAACCGACCACCACGUGCCGCCUUCGCUGUCGCGGCAGCGGCUGCGCGUUCGGCAUUUUUCCUGUCGAACUCCCGCUCCAUUGCCCUCGCGCAGGUCCACGAACUGGAAGGAGCGGUGAGCAAAAGUGUGGAGAUCCACGACGGCUGGCCUUCGCCGAAUUUCGAGCACCCGCACACCGUGCACCCGCACGCGAGACAAGAAACGUACCCUCCAUACCGCGCGGCUUCUUGGCGGUGAAAAGCGUUCCUCCGGACUUCGUACAAGUCCUCCACGAAACGUGCUCGGGUCUCUUUCUCAGAGGGCAUGCCGCGAAUCUCUUCACGGACGGAGGCCAGCACCGGCAACAUACAGUUUUCAGGAGUUCCGCUAGAAGCCCCGGCGCACUGAAGCGCGGUCCGCAGGUGUCGCUCCAGACCCGCCACGUCGGUCUUCGGGUUGUCGCUGGGUUCACAGCCAGACAGCAGGAAGUGCGACGGAGGCGACUGGGAUUUCUCAGGUUUUCUCGGGUAGCCCUGAGAGGGAGUGACACCUCGGAAUUCAGGUGAGGCUUGAGAAAUAGCAGAGACGGCCUGUGCCGGUACACCGAGUGAACUCGAAGCCCCCGAGACUCUGGCCGUGCGUGCAGGUGCAAAGGCAGACGACUCCGAGCGUUUAGCUCCAGUCACUCUCCGGAUGUACCUUAGCAGCACGUCAAAAUCUUCGUUGGAUAGAUUUCUCAGCCAUGCGGCAAUCAUUGCGUCAGCUUCUCCAGCGAAACGGUUGCGGGGGGACUCGUCGCCCUCGUUUUUCGCUUCCUGUCGAGCACGCAAAAGGAGCGCGACAGCCUCGUACUCGGCAGGAAGCUUGCAGGGCUUGGAAGGGGUCAGCUGUUGGGUUUUUGAGGCAUCUCCGCCGUCACCCUCGAACACAGUCGCAUGGUCCGUCGACGGAGGCGGGGAAACAGACGGAGAGUGCUGGACACAGUCUCGCUCGGCAUUUGGAACAGACAGAAACUGAGACUCGCACGAAGUGCUCGACCGCGCGCUUGCGGCCUUUGGCAAAAAAGCAGGGUAGGGCGACUCGCUGUGGGACGAGAGGCCCCGUUGGAACGGGGCGCGUCCACUCAAGCUUAGGAGGGGGGAAGCUCCCGCGUUUCUACCCGAGGAAGUGGGAGAGGAGAAAAUCCAGGAAGACUCCCGGUCAUCGUCUGAGCGGGCCGCAUCAAACUUCGUUUUUCCAGGCGGCGCGAACGAGGCGAGAGUUGUAGAUCCGGCGGCCAGCUGGGAAGCUGUUUCGCUCCGGACCGGAAUGCCGAGUCUCGAGAGCGAACUGCCUGCUUGCGGUGCCCCUAUGGCCGAAGAAACAAGGCGCAGGAAAGACGACGCAUGCUCAAAGGAGCUGGGUAGGGGUGAAGCGACAGGACGCCCCUGCGUUCGUUGGUCUUGUCGCAAGUCCUCAGACGAAGAAUCGGCGCCUUCUUCCUGGCUUGCCUCUCCCCCGUGUAUCGUUGCUGUUUCGCCAUCGGCCUUCCACGCGUUCUCUUCAGGGCCGUCAGGGUGAAACAAGGCAAUUGGUCGGGAGGUAUCGUCUGGUCCGACUACCGGGGCCGUGUGCAAUUCCGCUGCAACUGCUCUCGGUUCCGGCGAAUGCUUGGGAGUCAGUGCGUCGAAGACGGCAGCUUUUGCGAGCUCUUCAUCGCGAACAUCCCCCCGCGAGGGCUGCGAAUCCGGGUCGCUGCUGCCAUCGCUGAGGUCCCCGACGGUACUGGCAGAGCUGUGAGACGAGUGACUUGCUGCCGCGGCAGGUGCCACAUCUGCGCAUUUUGGUGUGACAGCGUUCUCCAUUUCCUCGAUUUCUGGCGGUUGGAUGGGUCCACGGAUCGGUGUGUGGAGUUGCCCUGUAAGCCGCGGUUCUUCCUGCGUCAUUUUUUGCCGUUUUGGCCCGAGAUCUUCUUCGGGAUAAGCUUCCAAGACCCGGGGGGGAAAAGCGCUUCUAAAGUUGAUAAAAGAUAGUUGCCUUAAAAGUAGGGCGGUAUAUUCUUGAAAGGUCGGGAGUGUGCCGGCUCGGGCAGACAGCGGUGCUGUGUGGACGGAGGUAGCCGCCUUACACGAGAGAGCACAGACAGUUAGCCGUGGCUUGACGAAAGUGCAAGGAGUCGUUUUGCUGAGUAAGGGUAAAUAAGGCUGACAAGAUGUCGCGUCUCGAUCUGAAAUACCAAGAAGAAUGGCUCAAAGUCUCCACGCAAGAAGGACACACUCGUCGCUCAACCUACUAAGUAUGGCACAUAUAGACGGGCAAGCUGUGUGGCAGCAGACUGCACGAAGACUUUUUCCAAACUUGUAAAAGGGUCGAAGAUGAGCCAUCUUGGCGCACCGUCACACUGUCUCAAGCUGAGUCAACAAUUGAUUUGCACGCAAUAGGGUUCGAGGAAAUAAUGUGGUAUCGCUUCCCGAAAGACGCCGCUAUACACCGCCACGGACCACGUGCCUCACGCCUGCUCGUGUGCGCUUGUGAGGAAGGAGCGCGUGACCGACAGGACCAGUUGGUGCCGCCUGGCCACGCUUAAAGGCUGGAAGCCGCGAGCUUACUCUUUGCGCCGAGGCUCAGAAAAGCGACCCGAUCACAUUUGCAACGUUUUUGGCGUGUGUACAUUGACAAAUAAGAAGGGAAAAACGAAUAUCACCGUCCGCGCCCGCGACGGGCGUGCAUCGAGUUGCGACGGCGCGUAAAUGAACAGCGCUCGGAUCCAGCUCGCGUGUGCAACUCUGGGCUACCUACUGUGGGAUAGGGCAGAAAGUUUGGCCAAUCUGGAACAGCUUUGAACCGAAAAGUCAUUUGCGGAAGAAAGAAGAAUCCAACCGGCCAAACUCGGGAGCACUCUACCCACACAGUUGCCCCAAAUCAUCAACUGGCGGCGCGAGGGCUCUCGCUCGUCUGGGUGCCACUCUUUUGGGUCAACUUGUGGCGCCGGGGCUGUGUGGGCGCUGGCACACGAGGGUGGCCAUGACCUGCCAACACGCGUUCUGCGUGUUCUCAAAGUGGAAUUGUGUGGUGCCUUGUGGGCUGUUCUUCGUUUGUGUAGAAGGCGUCUGCGUGAGGGGAGCGUUGGUGUCGCUGUUCGUGAACCAAUCCUGCUGCCCUCGGCUAGCAAGUACCGUCGUGAACGCCAAAACGAACACUUCGACGGAGCUGUCUUUCGCUACCGCCUAACGCCUUGUGGUAGGGCCUACUGCCGUCUGCUGUGACAGACUUCACUUUGUGCUGUGGGUGCAGAGAUCCCGCAUAAGAAAGGUGUAGGUGGUCACAUGUGCUUAAAACCGAACGUGUGCAGCCAGUGCAAGGACAAGCACCGAGCAAAAAACUAGGAGUUGAAAGAGGAGUGGGGGAAGGACUCUCCUACACUCAACGGCCCAAGAGGGGGGCUUGUUCCACGGCAACCGCAGCGUGAUUUGUGGACAGGAAACUCAGGGAUUCGAUUUGAUCCUCGACGUCGGGAGGGUACUUGCGACACCAACGAAUUUUUGCUGAGAUUUGAUGAGGCUGAUAUUGCAAAUACGCCCACGCAGGAUGGCGGCCUUCUGGCGCAGCGACACACAGAAGUAGCGUGGCCCCCGUUGUAUCCGCCACAACACUGAAACGGGUUUAUGGGGUUUAGUCCAUCCAGCGGGUGCCUUCUUAGCCUACGGGCUCUCAGUUCUGCCGCAAGAAACCAGGGUUUCUGAACUCAAACUCACUGGAAGUGUGUCGUGCAAAAUAACGCCCCUCGUCGUUGUGUACGGUCUUUUCUGUCAACGAAAUGUUUAGUCCAGUUAACCUGUUGGCGCCUACCGGAAACGCGCCGACAGCAGCUGCGAAGGCAUUCGCAGUUGACGUCUAGCGAAGAUUCCGAAGACAGAUCUAAAUAUGAGUUGUACUUGCGCUUCUGAUGGAUCUCGCGCUUGAGAACGCUGAACGAGAAAUCAAAGGGAUGAUUACCACCGUUCAGCAUCUAUUGCUAGUGGCGCCGAGCAUUUGUUGUGAGGAUUCUGCAAAGCACAGACACUAGUAUAUGACAAAGUGAGGUUUUCUGCCUCAACAGGCAGAAUCGGCUCCUUUUGUGGUAAAGAACGAAAUAUUUGCUUUAAUUUUUAGCCAUAAACGUCCGGAACAAAAGUGCUACAGGAUCUCGGCCUCUGCGGCGUCUUUACAGCUUACCGUGUUUCCGUAUCAUAACCACUGCCACAACCCACUCGUUUUGCAGCUUACUGUUGCACUGCCCACCACAUGAAUCUUUAACCCUCUGGACAGGCGUGGGCUGUUCAAAACGUCUUGUGGCAGCUCUACCACUCGCAAUGAACAUGCUUCAGGUCAACCAAAUUUGGCUGUAGCUAAUUCUUAGCCCUCACAGACAGUUUCCCUUUCACCAUUAUAUUUUGCAUUUUACUUAAUGGCAGACGUUUGCAGCCAGUGCUUUCCUUCC
RNAcentral lists this long non-coding RNA (6102 nucleotides) under Toxoplasma gondii VEG. The record is from RNAcentral. Lineage: Eukaryota; Apicomplexa; Conoidasida; Eucoccidiorida; Sarcocystidae.